Molecule: ribosomal RNA, 478 nt
Filed under: uncultured bacterium
Lineage: Bacteria
Description: bacterial SSU rRNA
Rfam family: Bacterial small subunit ribosomal RNA
Source: RNAcentral
ACGCUGGCGGCAUGCCUUACACAUGCAAGUCGAAACGGGCAGCACGGGAGCAAUCCUGGUGCGAGUGGCGAACGGGUGAGUAAUAUAUCGGAACGUGCCCAGUCGUGGGGAUAACGUAGCGAAAGCUACGCUAAUACCGCAUACGAUCUAUGGAUGAAAGCGGGGGAUCGCAAGACCUCGCGCGAUUGGAGCGGCCGAUAUCAGAUUAGGUAGUUGGUGAGGUAAAGGCUCACCAAGCCGACGAUCUGUAGCUGGUCUGAGAGGACGACCAGCCACACUGGGACUGAGACACGGCCCAGACUCCUACGGGAGGCAGCAGUGGGGAAUUUUGGACAAUGGGCGCAAGCCUGAUCCAGCAAUGCCGCGUGCAGGAUGAAGGCCUUCGGGUUGUAAACUGCUUUGUACGGAACGAAACGGUGAGCUCUAAUACAGUUUGCUAAUGACGGUACCGUAAGAAUAAGCACCGGCUAACUACGUG